RNAcentral lists this unclassified non-coding RNA (558 nucleotides) under Hevea brasiliensis (rubber tree). Lineage: Eukaryota; Viridiplantae; Streptophyta; Magnoliopsida; Malpighiales; Euphorbiaceae. The record is from RNAcentral.
GGUGCUGUAAUGACAUAUGGUACUCCUGGAUGCUCCUUUGCAGCUUCAGCUGUUAAUGAAGGAAUAUCCUGGUUCCAAUGUCGUCCAGGAGAAAGGAAAAAGGGGCUCACAAUAACUCGACGUGCUCCUUGUUGAACGCAUAAACUAAAUGCGUCUCUGAUAGAUGGUUCUGCUAGCUCCAUGUGUGCAGGCUCCACAAUGGGAUAUUUGGUUCUCUCUCUAAACAUUGCUACAAAUUCAUUUAGCAUGAGAUUGGACUCUUUUCUACGGGACCCAUGAUCCACAAUUAUCACUCCGUCGCCUUCUUCUAUCCCCUUCAACCCCUCCCUACUUGAAGUAGCCAUACAAUACCUCUGAGGUAAAUAUCUGGAUUUUGAAGGACCCUUAAGCAAUUUUACAAAUUCAGGAACUGCAAUUCCUGGUCCUCUAGCUGGGUAUGUACUGGUUGAGCUCCUCAAACUAAGAUGAGAUUGUAAAGACAACGAAUCCAUUCACCUUCUUCCAACACCGCUUCGGUUAUUCUUCCAUUUUCAACUGAAUCAGUAAACCUUGAUUAUU